GUGCCAGCCGCCGCGGUAAUACGUAGGGGGCAAGCGUUGUCCGGAAUCAUUGGGCGUAAAGCGCGUGUAGGCGGUUUCGUAAGUCUGCUGUGAAAGUCGGAGGCUCAACCUUCGAAAGCCGGUGGAUACUGUGAGACUUGAGUACGGAAGAGGAGAGUGGAAUUCCUGGUGUAGCGGUGAAAUGCGCAGAUAUCAGGAGGAACACCAACGGCGAAGGCAGCUCUCUGGGACGUUACUGACGCUGAGACGCGAAAGCGUGGGGAGCAAACAGGAUUAGAAACCCGUGUAGUCC
RNAcentral lists this ribosomal RNA (292 nucleotides) under uncultured bacterium. RNAcentral's name for it is "partial 16S ribosomal RNA". It matches the Rfam family "Bacterial small subunit ribosomal RNA", at positions 505 to 796 of the family's 1533-position model. The record is from RNAcentral.